RNAcentral lists this long non-coding RNA (252 nucleotides) under Elaeis guineensis (African oil palm). RNAcentral's name for it is "long non-coding RNA (EGUI_LNC017895)". Lineage: Eukaryota; Viridiplantae; Streptophyta; Magnoliopsida; Arecales; Arecaceae. The record is from RNAcentral.
UCUAGGCUCGCUGUAUUCAAGAAUAUCAGGAUUCUGUAGAGUUUAAAAGAGAGAUCGUUGAUAUUGCCGCCGGCGGAUUCAUCGAUGGUUUUGAGAAUUAUAAGGUCCGCCUGCUGCAGAUAAUACCGUAUUUGGAGCUCCACUCCUUUCAGCUCGGGAACAGCAAUGAGGAAGCUUCCUCAUCAAAUGAGGACUGAGCCUCCUCAUCCUUGAGUUGGGGAUCGAGGAGAGUAUCUGCCACUCAGUCAUUGC